AGAGUUUGAUCAUGGCUCAGGAUGAACGCUAGCUACAGGCUUAACACAUGCAAGGUCGAGGGGAAACGAUAUUGGAAGCUUUGCUUCCGAUAGGCGUCGACCGGCGUACGGGUGAGUAACGCGUAUCCAACCUGCCCACCACUUGGGGAUAACCUUGCGAAAGUAAGACUAAUACCCAAUGACGUCUCUAGAAGACAUCUGAAAGAGAUUAAAGAUUUAUCGGUGAUGGGUGGGGAUGCGUCUGAUUAGCUUGUUGGCGGGGUAACGGCCCACCUAGUCUUCGAUGGAUAGGGGUUCUGAGAGGAAGGUCCCCCACAUUGGAACUGAGACACGGUCCAAACUCCUACGGGAGGCAGCA
Molecule: ribosomal RNA, 358 nt
Filed under: uncultured bacterium
Lineage: Bacteria
Description: bacterial SSU rRNA
Rfam family: Bacterial small subunit ribosomal RNA
Source: RNAcentral